RNAcentral lists this ribosomal RNA (233 nucleotides) under uncultured bacterium. Its description in RNAcentral is "partial 16S ribosomal RNA". It matches the Rfam family "Bacterial small subunit ribosomal RNA", at positions 15 to 236 of the family's 1533-position model. The record is from RNAcentral.
GAUCCUGGGCUCAGGAUGAACGCUAGCUACAGGCUUAACACAUGCAAGUCGAGGGGCAGCAUGGUCUUAGCUUGCUAAGGCCGAUGGCGACCGGCGCACGGGUGAGUAACACGUAUCCAACCUGCCGUCUACUCUUGGACAGCCUUCUGAAAGGAAGAUUAAUACAAGAUGGCAUCAUGAGUCCGCAUGUUCACAUGAUUAAAGGUAUUGGUCGGUAGACGUAGGGUAGGGGU